RNAcentral lists this ribosomal RNA (314 nucleotides) under uncultured marine eukaryote. RNAcentral's name for it is "bacterial SSU rRNA". It matches the Rfam family "Eukaryotic small subunit ribosomal RNA", at positions 613 to 936 of the family's 1831-position model. The record is from RNAcentral.
UUGCAGUUAAAAAGCUCGUAGUUGGAUUUCUGGCAGGGGGCAACAGCCCGCUUGCAGCGUGUGCUUGCCGUCCCCUACCAUCCUUCUGUUAACGCGCCAGGACAUUCACUUGUCGGGCGCGGGCUCAGAUAAUUUACCUUGAGAAAAUUAGAGUGUUUCAGGCAGGCUGACGCCGGGAUACAUUAGCAUGGAAUAAUGGAAUAGGACUUUCGCCUCUUCUGUUGGUCUGAGGGGUGAUCGUAAUGAUUAAUAGGGAUAGUUGGGGGCAUUAGUACUUAACUGUCAGAGGUGAAAUUCUUGGAUUUGUUAAAGAC